AUGCAAGUGUAAGUUCAUGCCGUAAACGAAUGGUGAAACCGCGAAUGGCUCAGGAACCGGACCUAAUCCUCGGGACCGUAUUCCUCUUUAACGCGAGGAGAGUGGAUAACUGUGGCAAUUCUAGAGCUAAUACAUGCAACCGAAGCCGCGAUCGCAGGUCGCACCCGGGCGUCGGGUUUGCAGAAAACGGCGUUCGGCGCCAUUCGGCGUCGCCCGUUGUUGGCGUCGUCGCUGGUUGCCGUUCGUUGCCGGCGCCCGCUCGGCCGGAACUCGGCGGGUUCGCGCUCGCCCCGGUCGCGACGAUACGGUCGGCCUUUCGCAUUGGUCGCGGCGCAAAUAUUAGACUGAGACCGACGCGUACGGGCCGUGGCGGUGUUGCGUCGGCCGUCGUCGCCGCUUCGCGCGGUGGCGCGCGCCUCGCUGGCCGCUGCGGCUUCCUCACGCCCUUCGAUUUUGGUGACUCUGGAUAACUGUCAGUACGAUCGCACGGGCUAGUUAUAUCGACUAGCCUUCUGUUGGCGACGGGUCCCCCGCGAGUCCGCCCUAUCAACUGUCGACGGCCCGGUAAGUGCCGACCGUGGUGGCAACGGGUAACGGGGAAUCAGGGUUCGAUUCCGGAGAGGGAGCAUGCGAAACGGCUACCACA
This 646-nucleotide ribosomal RNA is filed under the name Scaeurgus unicirrhus. RNAcentral describes it as "partial small subunit ribosomal RNA". It matches the Rfam family "Eukaryotic small subunit ribosomal RNA", at positions 51 to 414 of the family's 1831-position model. The record is from RNAcentral. Lineage: Eukaryota; Metazoa; Mollusca; Cephalopoda; Octopoda; Octopodidae.